GUCUGUUUGAAGCCAGGUAGAGCCAUCACAGCAGUUUAGUUUGAUGCCAGUAGAGCAUCACAACGAAGGGGUUGGGGGGGCACACACCAGACCAUGAAGGGCCCCGCUUGUCUUUUAGAACAUGUAGCCCGGGUCACAGCAAUAGGGAGCCAAAGAGGAGUUAAGAGUAAGCGACAUGAUUGGAUUCGCACUUUAGGAAGAUUACUAUGGCAACUGUGGGGAGAAAGGAUGGGGGGGAGCUGGUCUGAACAAAGUGGCUCAGAUCCCGCCCGCUGGUGGCUGAAACCAGGGUAGCAGGAAAGGGAGAUGGAAUCAGAGAGAAGUGAACAGUUGCCAAGGCCAAGUGAUGGACUGAGUGCAGGGGAUAUCUGGGUUGGGUAAGCAAAGAGUGCUGAGAGCGUUCCCAGGUUUCUGGUUUGGGCAACAGGAAAAAGGUGAUCUUUUUCCCAGCCAGGGGACUGUGAGGGAGAUGCCGUCCUGGGAAGUGAGGCUGAUGAGUCAGCAGCUCUAGAGACAGGCCUGGGCUGAAGACAGAGCACCCAGGGAGCCAGCCUGGAGCAGGGCCGGGAGCCGGCUCGGCUGCCUGGAGCACAGGUGCAAGAAACCUUUGCUCAGGACCUUGACCUGGCUCACGUGAUUGAGCUGAUUGCCCCUGAGCCACCAGGCUCCAUACAGACGGGAGCCAUCUGGGGAGCCAGCUGCAGAAUAUGAAUUGUCCCUCUUACAGGUGGGAGGCUGGGACACUCAGAGAUGCAGCCCCAGCCCCACCCGCCAAUAUCCGGGCCACCUACCCAUAUCAGGCAAUGCAGAGGAUGAUCUGCUGAAAGCAACACUUAGCGUGCGCUAUGGACUACACACUGUUCCAGAUGCUUUACAUCCCAGCCACACAAUUAAAUUUUUCGGGCCAAGAUUAGCGGUACAGGAGCUGAGGCCCAGACCUCCACAGAGGAGACCUUGCAGGCAGCCGGGGUUAAUCUCAGAAGGUUUCCUGCGGAAAAAAAAAAAAAAAAAAAAAAAAAGGUUUCCUGCGGGAGGCAGCCCUCAGGUAAGUAGGUGGCUCAUUCCACUUCCAGGGCAAGUCCUCAGACCUCACACAUGGUGCACACUGGCAGAGCACAAUCAUGACAGCAGCAACAGCGCUCACAAGCCCAGUGUACGCUUCCACACUGACCAGGCUUCCCGCUUCUCCAAGUGCACUCACAUAAAUUCUCUUCUUUGAAGCUAACAGAUGAGACCUUGAUACCCACUAACACUGAAUGUUAGCCUCCGUCCUUCAUGCCUCCCCUCCUUCCUUCCACUCUCUCUUUAAACCCUAUGAAGCAAGGGGAGCCAGGGACAAAUGCUAUCCUUCCUAUCUUACAAGUAGACCGAGGCACAGAAAGGACAAGGGAGUGACUUUGGGUCACACAGCUCUGCAUGCUAAGACUAAAGCUCCAGAGUGAGGGAUAAGCAUGAGUAGAGCUGCACCAGGCAAGGCCAUAGCGUGGAGAUCUCUUGGGCCACUGCCUUGACUCCAACUUCUAAAACAGCUUCUAAAACAGACCUCCUGUCAGGUUGGAAGCUCUGCUGGCCAGAAUCCAUGCUCCCAAGACCAAGAAGCAAGCCCAGAGGGCUGGCACCCAGCUACCGGUCGAAGUGGGCAGCCGAAUGGAACAGUGAUUUGUGGAGUCAGACCUCUUGAGUUCCAUCACGGCCUCACCACUUACCAGCUAAAUUACCCUGGAAGCAGCUUGUCCUCUCUGAGUAUCUUCAUCUGUAAAACAGAGAUCAUGGCAUCUCUCCCUCCAGGUGGUGCCAAAGGGUGCAGUCAAAUGACCUAUGGACAGCUGUCAGCCGGGUGCUUUGGCCCACAUUCCAUGCUUCCCUGACCUGCUGCCUGUGGGUUAGAGGGGGCUGCGCCACCACGGUGGGCGGGCAACCAAGCAUCAGUAGAGGUGACAGUCCUGCAAGGAGGGAGAGCCUCUCCUCUGGGAGUGACACCUGAGAAGGGAGCUCAUGUAGUCUUCAGUGCUCAUAAAUUGCAAUGGGAAGUACUAAGAGAACAUCCCUCUUGUAGCUGAAGAGCCUCGGGAGGAGGGUGUUGCCGCUGAGGGCCGGGGUGAGGCAUGGAUGUGCCCUGUCAUAAACUCUUCCUUUCAGUGACCGUAGUCACAGAGUACAGGAACCCACAACUUCAGGUCCCUGGCGGGUCACUCUACUGAAGGCAAGGCAUGGCCCCCAAGCAGGAAAGCCAACUGAAGGAUAAAGGAGUGGUCCUCCCGGGUUUGAUCGACCCCAGGGAGGGAUCAAGGGGGCACUCCAACUGUUCUUCAGUGGCCAGAAGUAGGAAAUGGUGACCUCUUUCGGGCUGGAAACAGUGAUUAAACAGUGAUUAAACAGCGAGGUGAGGCCAGCUGUCCAUCGUAACUGGCUUAAACCAGACCACCCUGUGAGUAGUUCCACCAUCCUACACAACAAAUGAGAAACGGAGGCUCAAAGAGUUUAGACAAUUUGCUCAAGUUUACACAGCUAGGAAGUGUCAGAGGUGGGAAUUGGGCCCGUGUUCUUGUUCUCAGACAGCACAGCCCACCCAACCAAGACCGACCACUCGGGGACGAGGCACGCCCUGUGCCCUUGUACAACUGAUGUCAGGGGUUUUUUUCUUUCUCUCCUUCUUUCCUUAAUUUCUCUUCUGUUGUUCACACUUAUGGCAGGCUGAAAGGGGGGAGGUAGGAGGACAUACCCCCUGAGGCCAAUCAGACAGGACAGAGGUGGGGGGGUCGGAGGCUGCUCGCUGUACCCGAGCAGGGUGUUGUGGGGGCUGAGGGUGUCUGCCCUGGAGUCACAGACCCCUGAUUCACGUCUCUGAGCCACCACUUAGUGACCUUGGGCAGGUUGCUUCACCUGUCUCUGCCUCAGUCUCCUCUCCCCUGAAACGGUACUGAUGUAGAAACGAGCUCAGGGGGCUGGAUCAAGGCUCCGCUGCGCUGGAGGUGCUCGGCCCGGUGUCUGCCACGUGGUAGGCACACGUUACCAAUUAGCACCAUUAUUCAUGCUCCCUCGAGUGCUUUUCUCUGUCCACGGCUUGCAUUUUGACAAAGGAGGAAGGCCAGGAAAGUGUAGAGGUGUGAUCAAAUGGAUGUCCAUCGUACUUCAAUCGCCACAAGCACCCGAGUGGACAGAAGGAGACACGGAGCCUUGCAGUGCUGAGCAGGUGAGGCUUAUAGAAGGGGUGUCAUCGAGCAUGGACUGGAGGACAGUCUGCUGAAGGCGGGAGGAAUGCCUGAAAGCUCAGGGCAAGUGAGGAGUGUGGUACCCUGGGAAGCAGAGGGAACAGGCCAGCCAAGCCCAGGGACUGGGCUCUUAGAGCAGCAGUCACAAGCUAAGCUACAGGCUGGGAGUCACGGGGACUUUCACAGGGAAGCAGAGUGGAGAACUCAUCAUUUGCGGAGUGUCUGGGGCACCUACACUCUUCCCAGAAGCCACUUAACCCUUCCAGCAGCCCGUGAAGUGUCCCCAUUUUGCAGAUGAGGACACAAGUCCAGAAACUUGAAUUAAUUCAGCUAGUACCUGGCAGGGAUUUAAGUCCCAGCCUGGCUGACUCCAAAACACCCCAGGCCACGCUCAGGCUGGGUCACUGAGGGUCUAACUUCUAGACCAAACCAGUCCUUUUUAUAGUAGUCCAGGGCUCACUAAGGCCCCUGCCCUCCGGGCCCACCCCCUGCAGCUCUCCACCAAACCUAGCCGACUACCCUAGUGGCAGGCAGCAAUUCCACAGAGCUGGACCUCGCAGGCUCUCAGAACUUCCAUCGCGAGCCGCAGGCCUGGGGAGGAAGGUCUCAGCAAGGAGGACCCAGCGGGAGCCUCCCUGGGGCUGGAGCCCCUCUGGGGGGAGGCUCAAGGAAUCCCUGGUUGGAACUGUGAUUCUGACACAGAUUCAGAGACCAGAACUCCCAGGGCCAUGAGCUGUCCUGUGGCUCCCAAGAGCACCCUGGGCCCUCUGGGAUCCACCAUCUGAGCAGAGGACAGGCUGGGCUUCCCAUACAGUUUCUUCCAAAAGCAGAGGGCAUCCUGCUCUGGCCACCCCGGUCCCAGGGGCUGUGCCCCCAGUGUCAGGCCCGU
Molecule: long non-coding RNA, 4101 nt
Filed under: Canis lupus familiaris (dog)
Lineage: Eukaryota; Metazoa; Chordata; Mammalia; Carnivora; Canidae
Description: lncRNA (ENSCAFG00845001903.1)
Source: RNAcentral